AUUGAACGCUGGCGGCAUGCCUUACACAUGCAAGUCGAACGGCAGCACGGGAGCAAUCCUGGUGGCGAGUGGCGAACGGGUGAGUAAUACAUCGGAACGUGCCCAAUCGUGGGGGAUAACGCAGCGAAAGCUGUGCUAAUACCGCAUACGAUCUACGGAUGAAAGCAGGGGACCGCAAGGCCUUGCGCGAAUGGAGCGGCCGAUGGCGGAUUAGGUAGUUGGUGGGGUAAAGGCUCACCAAGCCAACGAUCUGUAGCUGGUCUGAGAGGACGACCGGCCACACUGGGACUGAGACACGGCCCAGACUCCUACGGGAGGCAGCAGUGGGGAAUUUUGGGCAAUGGGCGCAAGCCUGAUCCAGCCAUGCCGCGUGCAGGAUGACGGCCUUCGGGUUGUAAACUGCUUUUGUACGGAACGAAACGGCCUUUUCUAAGAAAGAGGGCUAAUGACGGUACCGUAAGAAUAAGCACCGGCUAACUACGUG
Molecule: ribosomal RNA, 484 nt
Filed under: uncultured bacterium
Lineage: Bacteria
Description: partial 16S ribosomal RNA
Rfam family: Bacterial small subunit ribosomal RNA
Source: RNAcentral